UACAGAGGGUGCGAGCGUUAAUCGGAAUUACUGGGCGUAAAGCGCACGUAGGCGGCUUGGUAUGUCGGGUGUGAAAUCCCCGGGCUCAACCUGGGAACUGCCUUUGUGACUGCAAGGCUUGAGUGCGGCAGAGGGGGAUGGAAUUCCGCGUGUAGCAGUGAAAUGCGUAGAUAUGCGGAGGAACACCGAUGGCGAAGGCAAUCCCCUGGGCCUGCACUGACGCUCAUGCACGAAAGCGUGGGGAGCAAACAGG
Molecule: ribosomal RNA, 253 nt
Filed under: uncultured bacterium
Lineage: Bacteria
Description: partial 16S ribosomal RNA
Rfam family: Bacterial small subunit ribosomal RNA
Source: RNAcentral